UGGCGGCAACGAGCUGGGUAUCCACUCAUUCAUGAAAGGCACCGCGUGGGAACCCCGUCCAAUGUUUGUGGCUACAUCGCACACAAGGCAUAACAGCCCUCUGCAAUGCCGCACUAAAGCAAGUAGCUAACCGUACUUGAUUACUCCCAUGCAUCAUUUUGCGCGCGCGCAGUCGUACGACGGUUACGCCGCCCGUACGGUGGCGGUGCGGUCGGACUACUCGUAUGUGGGCAUGCUGCAGUUUGCGGCGCUGGGUGUGGGCGCGGUGCUGGGACCCGCGCUGCUGGCCCUGGUGAUGCACGCCAUGUGCAGGUGGGUUGCAUGGUAUACGUAUAAGGGAUGUGAAAGGGCGGCGCCCGCGGCUGUGAAGAGGUGGGGCGUGUAGGCCAAGCACGCGUCGAGGCUUGGUGGUGUGUUACAAAAUGUCGCUGCUAGGGCAUUGGGAUUCGAAUUUACUACCAUGGCUUGUAUACUGCUAACACCGUUUGCGGCGACGUGUGUCUCCACCACUGCACAGGCUUCUCAGCCUGAAGAGGCGCACCGCCAACGUAACCGAAAUGGAGUCACAGCCUUCCGCCUCAGGCUCCGACGCCUCGCCCGCUGACUGCCGCAUCGGCGUCACGGUCACAGCUGGCACCAACGCCGCCACCGGUGCUGCCUCCAAGGCUCUGGCCGCGCCGCCGCCGGCUCACGUGCCCACCGCCGCCGCCUACAUCAGCACCGGACGCCCCGACCUCAAGACCAUCCUCACGCACGCCGCCGCGCCCUACGCCCCGGACGGUGAGGCGGUUGAGGAUGACCAGGCCGCUGCUGUGGGCGUUUUCGUGGCCGGGCCGGCCCCUCUGGUGGCGGCUGUGGCGGACACGUGCGCUGCUGUGAACGGUGUGUGGGCUGCGCUGUUUGGCGGCUGCUGCGGUGGCGGUGUGGGUGGCCGUGCUUACCUGGAGCUGCACGCGCUGACGCAUGAGCUGUAGAGUGCAUGCGGGUACAUGACGUAGGCUGGGUGCUGGCGGAGUGGUGGUGGAGCGUGCUGGAGCACUCACUUUGCGGGCAAUCAGUGACGAACGGUGACGGUGCGUGGUGGCGAUGGUGAUGGGUGCUAUAUAUAAGUAAGGCGAGCGGCUGUUUAUUUAUCGCACUGCUGCCGUCGGACGGAGCGAGGAGGCAACAGGUUGUGGCCCAUAGAAGUCAUGAGUGUGCGCACCAGCAGUGAAGCCUUCCAUUUAGCGCAACCUUGCUUGCUUGCAUGCUAUCUACACAUACACAUGCUUGGCGGCGGUUAGGUACAGUGUCCCGUCCCUACCUCCGUUGUGGGCACUGUGCGUGUUUGCUGCUGGUGUUUUGGGCGUGAAAAGC
RNAcentral lists this long non-coding RNA (1356 nucleotides) under Chlamydomonas reinhardtii. RNAcentral describes it as "long non-coding RNA (CREI_LNC000392)". Lineage: Eukaryota; Viridiplantae; Chlorophyta; Chlorophyceae; Chlamydomonadales; Chlamydomonadaceae. The record is from RNAcentral.